Molecule: ribosomal RNA, 117 nt
Filed under: Pteropus alecto (black flying fox)
Lineage: Eukaryota; Metazoa; Chordata; Mammalia; Chiroptera; Pteropodidae
Source: RNAcentral
GUCUAUGGUCAUGCCACCUGAACGUGCCCGAUCUCAUCUGAUUUUGGAAACUAAGCAGGGUCAGGCCUGGUUAGUACUUGGAUGGGAGACCAUUUAGGAAUACUGUAGGCAUAAAAA